Molecule: ribosomal RNA, 421 nt
Filed under: uncultured bacterium
Lineage: Bacteria
Description: bacterial SSU rRNA
Rfam family: Bacterial small subunit ribosomal RNA
Source: RNAcentral
UAGGGAAUAUUGGGCAAUGGGCGCAAGCCUGACCCAGCCAUGCCGCGUGGAGGAUGAAGGCCUUCGGGUCGUAAACUCCUUUUCUGAGGGAAGAAUAGCCUGUGCAGGAAAUGGUAUGGGUAUAACGGUACCUCAGGAAUAAGCAACGGCCAACUCCGUGCCAGCAGCCGCGGUAAUACGGAGGUUGCAAGCGUUGUUCGGAAUUACUGGGCGUAAAGGGAGCGCAGGCGGCCAAGUCAGUCUGAAGUGAAAUCCCGGGGCUGAACGUCGGAAGUGCAUUGGGGACGGCGUGGCUAGAGUAGGUGAGAGGUGGGCUGAAUGCCGGGUGUAGCGGUGAAAGGCGUAGAUAUAUGGAGGAACACCCGUGGCGAGAGCGGCUCACGGGCGCGUAACUGACGCUGAGGCUCGAAAGCGUGGGGAG